RNAcentral lists this ribosomal RNA (468 nucleotides) under uncultured bacterium. RNAcentral describes it as "partial 16S ribosomal RNA". It matches the Rfam family "Bacterial small subunit ribosomal RNA", at positions 28 to 507 of the family's 1533-position model. The record is from RNAcentral.
GACGAACGCUGGCGGCGUGCUUAACACAUGCAAGUCGAACGGAAAGGCCCUGCGUUUGUGGGGUGCUCGAGUGGCGAACGGGGGAGUAACACGUGAGUAACCUGCCCUUGACUUUGGGAUAACUUCAGGAAACUGGGGCUAAUACCGGAUAGGAGCUCCUGCUGCAUGGUGGGGGUUGGAAAGUUUCGGCGGUUGGGGAUGGACUCGCGGCUUAUCAGCUUGUUGGCGGGGUAGUGGCUUACCAAGGCUUUGACGGGUAGCCGGCCUGAGAGGGUGACCGGCGACAUUGGGCCUGCGAGACGGCCCAGACUCCUACGGGAGGCAGCAGUGGGGAAUAUUGCACAAUGGGCGGAAGCCUGAGGCAGCAACGCCGCGUGCGGGAUGACGGCCUUCGGGUUGUAAACCGCUUUCGCCUGUGACGAAGCGUGAGUGACGGUAAUGGGUAAAGAAGCACCGGCUAACUACGUG